This 140-nucleotide ribosomal RNA is filed under the name Spirodela intermedia. Lineage: Eukaryota; Viridiplantae; Streptophyta; Magnoliopsida; Alismatales; Araceae. The record is from RNAcentral.
ACCUCCUUUGUGGGAGAGUUGCACCGGAUCCAUAAGAACUCCGAAGUUAAACGUGCUCGGGUGGAGCAGUCCUGGAUGGGUGACCUCCUGAGAAGUCCCUGGUAUGUGUGCAUGCGUUGCGAGAGAUGCUUGCUGUGCAU